RNAcentral lists this long non-coding RNA (1306 nucleotides) under Elaeis guineensis (African oil palm). RNAcentral describes it as "long non-coding RNA (EGUI_LNC029201)". The record is from RNAcentral. Lineage: Eukaryota; Viridiplantae; Streptophyta; Magnoliopsida; Arecales; Arecaceae.
GGGCGCAAAACAGGAGAUUCAUUCGAAUCCUCCUUUUCUCUCAAAAUAGGGAUCCUUGCACUGGCAGAUGGGCGGUCGAGGAUGCACUUAUGGUGAUGCAACUACAGCUCCUUGAUUCAACGGUCGACGGUGAUGGAUAGGACCGAAUGGUGCCGGAAGAACAAUGAAUAUGGAUGGUCUAACAAAAAAUAGAGUACUUUGAGCAUCCAAUUUUCUCCUAAAAAAUUAGUAAAUAAAACUCGAAAAUCAUAACCUAUGUUCAAGAAAAAAUCAAAACGAAAAUUUUCUUAAAAGAUUACCCGGCUCUUAGGGGUGUUUGGGCCAUAAAUCCUCUGCCACAAUGCCUUCAAAUCGAGAAUAGAAAAUAAGAGAAAAAUAGAAGAAAAUAAGGAGAGGAAGAGAGACUUUCCAACGAUGAAUGGUGACUAGAGGUGGUAGAAAUUUCAGAGGAAGCCAAACAUCUAUAUAUACGAAAUUUUAUCUAAAAAAUCUAAUUUAUAUAUAGGAAUCAUGGAAAAGCGCCCCAGGCGGUCCGCCUCUGAGUCAGGGCAUAGGCAAGGUGGCUAAGGCUGUCCAUGUUGAAAAAGUUGAAGAGGAGGUGGUCCAUUAAGAAGAACUCUGGCUUUCGCAAUGGAUUGCACUAGCCGCUAGACCGCCACCACUGUUGCUCCUUGCCUUCGGCACUCAUCUUUGUAAGGAAGAGCCCAUCCUUCUCUUUAAAUGGCUUCAAUCUCGGCUUUGUGAGGUACAAGAUGGAAGAUUACCUCCAACAAACAGACCAACUGGGAGAGGUUAGAUUAUCUCAUCAUCUCUAUCUAAGUCUCUCGGACCCUCGGUUCAGGUAGGGUGUAUGGCCGUCCCUCCACUCCUAGGCAUCCUAUAGAUGUCACAUACACUGUAGCAUAAUGGAACAUUCUCGAUGCAAAGCUACUCAAUUCUCGACGCUUAAAUGCAUCGCAAAAAGAACACCGACGCCUCCAAAAGGGUCGAAAAAGCUGGCCCAAAUAAAGAUCCAAGGGAAUAAAUAUGGACAUGUUUAUUUCCAAAUACUUGGUAUCUGAAUUUGAUUUCUAAGAAACUGAGGCUUUGAUUUCUUUGCUCUAAGAAUUUGAGUUCUGCUAUUUAUUUUGGAGGAAGCCGAUGUGCAAGACCUAAAGUAUUAGGUAUCAUAAUAUCAUUAAUUAUUUUUAAUGAUAAUUGUCAUCUAAAUCCUACUUAAACAGCACACAUUUUCCGGGGAGAGCCAGUGAAAGGGCAUAGAAGUAGGCCUUAAAUGCCAUACCUAAGAAUAAGGUAAGAAAGCGAG